Molecule: ribosomal RNA, 506 nt
Filed under: uncultured bacterium
Lineage: Bacteria
Description: partial 16S ribosomal RNA
Rfam family: Bacterial small subunit ribosomal RNA
Source: RNAcentral
AGUGAACGCUGGCGGUAGGCCUAACACAUGCAAGUCGAACGGCAGCACAGAGGAGCUUGCUCCUUGGGUGGCGAGUGGCGGACGGGUGAGGAAUACAUCGGAAUCUACUCUGUCGUGGGGGAUAACGUAGGGAAACUUACGCUAAUACCGCAUACGACCUACGGGUGAAAGCAGGGGAUCUUCGGACCUUGCCCGAUUGAAUGAGCCGAUGUCGGAUGAGCAAGUUGGCGGGGUAAAGGCCCACCAAGGCGACGAUCCGUAGCUGGGCUGAGAGGAUGAUAAGCCACACGGGAACUGAGACACGGUCCAGACUCCUACGGGAGGCAGCAGUGGGGAAUAUUGGACAAUGGGCGCAAGCCUGAUCCAGCCAUACCGCGUGGGUGAAGAAGGCCUUCGGGUUGUAAAGCCCUUUUGUUGGGAAAGAAAUCCAUCUGGUUAAUACCCGGGUGUGAUGACGGUACCCAAAGAAUAAGCACCGGCUAACUUCGUGCCAGCAGCCGCGGUAA